This 205-nucleotide long non-coding RNA is filed under the name Bos taurus (domestic cattle). Its description in RNAcentral is "long non-coding RNA NONBTAT025293". Lineage: Eukaryota; Metazoa; Chordata; Mammalia; Artiodactyla; Bovidae. The record is from RNAcentral.
UUUGGGGCCAUUUAUGUCAAAAUUUUGUUUAGAUGGUUAAAAACAUUCAGUGAUUCACUUAUGCAGACCUUGUAGUAUUCGUUGCUCUCUGCUUCAGAGAAUGCAGAAGUAUUUAUCUCCCAAAGCUUCAUGUAAUAGAUGCUGAAAAGCAAGACAUUACUGGUAACUGACACUGUGAUGUCUGGUAUCAUUUGCUUCAAGACAU